Molecule: non-coding RNA, 3191 nt
Organism: Rattus norvegicus (Norway rat)
Lineage: Eukaryota; Metazoa; Chordata; Mammalia; Rodentia; Muridae
Source: RefSeq, a predicted model, not a curated record
GCAAGGCCCUGGGUUCGGUCCCCAGCUCCAGAAAAAAAAAAAAAGAAGUCUCCCCGAUUGUUUCUUGGCUAGAGCCAACUCACCCCAUUGCAGUCAGUCCCAAGCCAUGAGGAUUAAACCUCAGUGUGAUAGCCAACAACUGUAGAAGUCCUAUUGGCAGGAGUAUCUGGCUUCCUCUGGGCAUGUGAAGGCACAGUACCUCAACUCAGAGGAGAAGGGAACAUCCUACUGAGACAAUGCCCGAGAUGAGACCGUGAAGAAAGCAGCCUUACUCAUGAAGGAGACGGGGGACAAAGGCAGGGGUCUUGCCCAGGACCAUGACAACUGGCAGCUCUGGGAAACUCAGGUGACAAGAAUGAGGACAAUUCACCUCAACACAAUGGUGCUGAUGACUACAAGACUAAUAGCACGUGUUUGUCCAAGGCUUACUAGGCAUCACCUUCUGUUCUUCGAGUGCACAGCACCCCUGUGAGAUGAUUACCGCCACCUUCGCACAGUUAAGAAACAUAAGGCUCAGGGAGGUUUUUAAAAUGUACUCACGAGCCAGAGAGGGAGCCCAGCAGUUAGGAGUGCUUACUGCCCUUGCAGAAGACCCCAGGUUGGUUCUCAGAGCCAACAUGGCAGCUCGCAACUGCCCGAAACUCCAUUCCAGGGGAAUCCAACACGCUCAUGCAUGUCUGUGGCGCAUAUAAACUCACACAAGCACACGCAUAUACACGAAUUAAUUAAAAGCAAAAACAAAACCUCGUUCAAGGACCCAUAGGUAUGAUGUGGAUGGAGCCUGAAUCCUGAAUGGGAAAAAGGCAGGAAUGAAGUUACCAAGGAGGUCAGGGCAGCCACAGAGAGGUUGAAGAAGACUGCAAAGCCAGGCCACACACACAGCCACAGAUACAGAACCAGAGGGGAAGACUAUAAGCUGUCGAGAUCUAAACCCCAGCUCUUCCACCUCCACACCUGAGGAGACCUCUCUGGGCCUCCAUUUCCCAAGCCAUAAAAUGGGGUUAAGAGUUGACUUCAAAGGCUUGUAACACCAACAAAGAGAACAGCAUAGGAAGGGUUCUCUGGAGCCAGCAUAUGCUCUAUGUCCAAUGGGAUUGGGAAUUGGUUGAGGUGACACAGAGCCAAGCCAGGGGAAGGGGGAAGGCACUGAAACAAGUGGCACUCGCAGGACAGAAUACAUGGAAUUCUUGACCAGGCAGGCCUGAACAUCCUCCUGACUCCAGCCAAAUCCACACCUCCUCCUGCAAACCCAGCAGUUUCAAACCCCAUCCUGCAGAAGCCCCCUGGGACAGAGCUAGGCCAGCCCUAACUAAGUGCUCUCGGCAGAUUCGGCUUCACCGUGGGCGGAGAUCACAGCUAGUUCUCCCUUCUAAGAGCUCUCUGGGAUUCUGGACACUACCAGAGUCCUCCAUUCUCCCACCAGCCAGCCUUGACCAUGUGCCAGUCCCUUCCUUACUUCCUUCUCUGCCUGUCCUUGAAAACGGUAGUGUCUACUAGUACAUCAGCACCUCCUGCACAGUCCCCUGCCUGCCCUUUGCCUCCCAGUUCUAAAUAAUCAAAGCCACCAGACAGGAAAGCCUGCAACUGCCUGCUCUCCCACUUAAAACCCUCUCCGGCUACACCCUCUUCUACCUCUCCCACACCCCGUUUCUCCAUUUAUGUUCAUUCACUCAAUACUGCCUCAGUGGCCUUCCCAGAAACCUGGGAUACAGGGGGACUCAAUGCACCAAGUCUUUGUCGAUGCCUUUGCCUCUGUCUCCCUCUCUAAGCACAGCGAGGUUUUAGAUGUGAGAGUGUUGCUGGAGAUGGAGUACAUCUUCUGGGUAUUAGGCAAGCACUCUUACCAGCCAUUGACAGUGAACCCAGCAACCACCCUCGGUUCCUGAGUUCCUGCGCCUCCCAUCAACACCCACCGCAGUACCUACUCCUUCCUUCCUCAGCCUUUUUGUAGGACCCCUUUUUUGGAAUCUCGGGUUACCCUUUCUCUGGCUUGUACUCAUGUUGUCUCUGCUCUGUCGCAGCAGCUCUGAACCUAUAGGUCGAAGCCCCUUCAGGGGUCACCUGAGACCACUAGAAAACACACGUUUAUUUAUAUCAUGGUUUAUAACAGUAGAACAUUUGGGGGGAGGGGGGGGGACAGUGUUCUCUGUGUAGUCCCCACUGCUGUCUUGGAACUCCCUCAGUAGAGCAGGGUGGAUAGAUCUGCCUGCUUCUUCUGCCUCCCAAGUGCUGGGAUUAAAGGCAUGCAAAAAUAAUUUUACUGCUGGGGGUCACCACAGCAUGAGGAACUAUAUUAAAGAAUUACAGCAUUAGGAAGGUUAAGAAUCACAGCUCUGUCAAAUCUGCUCCCUACAGGAUAAAAACAUACAAAUCAGCACCAGACCUUGUUUUCUCAGUAGUGGAUUCUGACUGGCUCACCAGCUUUUCUCAGACCAGAGAGAUCAAACCUAAGUUCUCUCUCUGCUGAAACUGUCUGUCCCUCCUCUGUGAUUCCCAAGCUAAGAAUAUUGCUAUCUCCCAGCCAGGCUCCUGGGUCACAAAUCUCCUUAUACUCGCCAUCGUCUUCACAGGCAAUGAGUCAGCACAUCUACGCUGUUCUGCUGCAGUCCAAAGGCUUGAACCUAGGACGGGGAAGCUCUGCUGCCAAGUUCUACCUCCAAAUCCCUGUCUGCGAGAGCAGUGCCUGCUGUGAACUGAUGCAGUCCUGGCCCCACCUCCCGAGUGCUGGGACUAAAGGUGCUCACCCCUCCUCAGCUCUCCCAGUCCUUUUACCUAGAAGUGUGUCCUAGAUUGCUGGGGCUAGCCUGGAAGUCAUAAUCUUUCUGCCUUAACCUUCCAAGCAUGAGGAUUACAGGCCCACACCACACCCCCAAGCCCAGGUGCCGCUUCUCCUUUCCUUGGGGUCUUGAGCAAUACUGAAGCAGGAGGAGCAGAGCUUGCAGCAAGGCCUCGUCUCAUCUCCCUAAAGUCUCAAUCUACACCCUCCCUGCCCUUCCUACUUCAGUGACCAGAUCCAGCAGAGCUUCCUGACCAGAGCUUCCUGACCAUUCUCCCCCUGUGAUCCCCGCGGUCUCUGCCCUUAGCUGGUUCUUCUCACCUGAAGACACCAUUUACUGAGGGCUUAGUAUCUCAGGCACUUUGCUGAAUGCUGUGCAGGAACAGCCUCAUUAAAUCCCACAAGGUAAAUAGGA